Molecule: ribosomal RNA, 279 nt
Filed under: uncultured bacterium
Lineage: Bacteria
Description: partial 16S ribosomal RNA
Rfam family: Bacterial small subunit ribosomal RNA
Source: RNAcentral
UGCCAGCAGCCGCGGUAAUACGGAGGGUGCAAGCGUUAAUCGGAAUUACUGGGCGUAAAGCGCGCGUAGGCGGUUAGUUAAGUCAGAUGUGAAAUCCCCGGGCUCAACCUGGGAAUGGCCUCUGAUACUGACUAACUAGAGUUUAGAAGAGGGAAGUAGAAUUUCGGGUGUAGCGGUGAAAUGCAUAGAGAUCCGAAGGAAUACCAGUGGCGAAGGCGGCUUCCUGGUCUAAAACUGACGCUGAGGUGCGAAAGCGUGGGUAGCAAACGGGAUUAGAUA